Molecule: non-coding RNA, 29 nt
Filed under: Homo sapiens (human)
Lineage: Eukaryota; Metazoa; Chordata; Mammalia; Primates; Hominidae
Source: RNAcentral
UGGUGACACUAACGAUUGCUACUCGGUUC